UUGGUUUUCAAUUUCCAAACUCAGUUGGAGUGCCACCGUAAUUAUUCCCUUGCAUCGCCUUAUACGGGUCUUAUAUCUGUGAAUUGGAAGGACAAAGAGAUGCUGGGCAAGAAGAGAGGUGCUCAUUGGUAACAGAUUAAGCGAGGACUAAGCAUGUAUACAAUAAGGGAAGAACAUAUGCUGAGACCAACCAAAAGCAGAGAAAAAAAUCACUUCAUCUAAGCUACCCAAUUAUUAAGGAUCACUUGAUUUCUUUUCAGAUGUCAAAUAAAAUUCCAUCAAAUGUGUAAGCAUUUAUA
Long non-coding RNA from Antechinus flavipes (yellow-footed antechinus), 299 nucleotides. RefSeq lists it as uncharacterized. NCBI's taxonomy places the organism in Eukaryota, Metazoa, Chordata, Mammalia, Dasyuromorphia, Dasyuridae. The record is from RefSeq and is a predicted model, not a curated record. The transcript has 2 exons.